RNAcentral lists this ribosomal RNA (253 nucleotides) under uncultured prokaryote. RNAcentral describes it as "partial 16S ribosomal RNA". It matches the Rfam family "Bacterial small subunit ribosomal RNA", at positions 524 to 776 of the family's 1533-position model. The record is from RNAcentral.
AACGUAGGUGGCGAGCGUUAUCCGGAUUUACUGGGCGUAAAGGGUGUGCAGGCUGCCCCUCAAGUGGUGUAUGAAAGGGCUCGGCUCAACCGGGCUAGGUUAUGCCAGACUGAGGGGCUAGAGAGCGAGAGCGGGACGUGGAAUUCCGGGUGUAGUGGUGAAAUGCGUAGAUAUCUGGAGGAACACCGGUGGCGAAGGCGGCAUCCUGGACCGACACUGACACUGAGGUGCGAAAGCCAGGGGAGCAAACGAG